Molecule: transfer RNA, 69 nt
Filed under: Marmota monax (woodchuck)
Lineage: Eukaryota; Metazoa; Chordata; Mammalia; Rodentia; Sciuridae
Rfam family: tRNA
About the family: Transfer RNA (tRNA) molecules are approximately 80 nucleotides in length. Their secondary structure includes four short double-helical elements and three loops (D, anti-codon, and T loops).
Source: Rfam by way of RNAcentral
GGAGUUGUGGCUCAGUGGCAGAGCGCUUGCCUAGCAUGCAAGAGACACUGAGUUCGAUCUUGGGCACCA